This 603-nucleotide ribosomal RNA is filed under the name Triticum aestivum (bread wheat). Its description in RNAcentral is "partial small subunit ribosomal RNA". Lineage: Eukaryota; Viridiplantae; Streptophyta; Magnoliopsida; Poales; Poaceae. The record is from RNAcentral.
AUGAGUGCUCUUUGUUGGAACGGUCGUGGCAUGGGUAAAGCCGCGACAGUCCGCGAACUUCGCGAAUUCGUGAGGAAAUUUACCCCUACCCUGCUUUGUAUCGUUGAAACGCAAGUUGAAGGCCCUAGGGUAGUAGAAUUAGCUAGUUCUAUUGACUUUGAUAAUUCUUAUGCAGUUGAUAGUCAAGGUAGGAGUGGUGGUAUUGGUCUUUCUUGGAACAAUUCAAUAAAAGUUGAAAUUCUCGGUUACUUUGGACAUCAUCUAGAUGUCUCAGUUGAGGAACGGGGGCAAGAAAAGUGCAGGAUGACAUGUGUGUACGGAGAAGCUCAGACACAUUUGCGGCACCAAACUUGGACGGUCGUAAAAAACACAAGUACUUUGAGCAGCUUGUCGUGGCUCUGUAUAGGGGACGUUAAUGAAGUACUACGUCCAAACGAGCACGAAGGAGUUGGGCAACGCGGCAAUACUCAAAUCCAAGCUUUUCGAGACACCGAUGAUAUUUGCAUGCUUUUGCUUGACAUUGGAUAUAAGGGCCAGUUUUGGACUUCUGAAAAAAGGUCAUGGGUGGAAGCUUCACAAGGUGCAGGCUGGAUAGAGGUUUGA